RNAcentral lists this transfer RNA (73 nucleotides) under Ixodes scapularis (black-legged tick). It matches the Rfam family "tRNA". From Rfam's summary of the family: Transfer RNA (tRNA) molecules are approximately 80 nucleotides in length. Their secondary structure includes four short double-helical elements and three loops (D, anti-codon, and T loops). The record is from Rfam by way of RNAcentral. Lineage: Eukaryota; Metazoa; Arthropoda; Arachnida; Ixodida; Ixodidae.
UUCUGGUUAGCUCAGUUGGUAGAGCGCUCCACUGGAUAUGGAGAGUUCCCUGGUUCCAUACCAGGACCAGGCG